GGCCAGUUAGCUCAGUGGUUUGAGCGCAGUGCUGACAACGAUGACAACACCAAGAUCGUGGAUUCGAUUCCCACUCGGUCCC
Molecule: non-coding RNA, 82 nt
Organism: Apaloderma vittatum (bar-tailed trogon)
Lineage: Eukaryota; Metazoa; Chordata; Aves; Trogoniformes; Trogonidae
Source: Rfam